AACCAUAGAAACCUGCGGAGUACCUGCGGAGGGAUCAUUACCAGAGUGCCAUAGGCUCUCCAACCCAUUGUGAACAUACCUAUCGUUCCCUCGGCGGGCUCAGCGCGCGGGGCCUCCGGGCUUCCGGGCGUCCGCCGGGGACAACCAAACCCUGAUUUACUACGUGUAUCUCUGAGGGGCGAAAGCCCGAAAACAAAAUAAAUCAAAACUUUUAACAACGGAUCUCAGAUCGGAAGAGCA
Molecule: unclassified non-coding RNA, 240 nt
Filed under: soil metagenome
Description: partial contains 5.8S ribosomal RNA, internal transcribed spacer 2, and large subunit ribosomal RNA
Source: RNAcentral